AAUUAGAAGAAGAAGACAAAUUAGAGUUCUUAGCUAACAGCUACCAACAACAGUAUAGUGACUUUAAAAACAUCUGGGAUCUAGUUUUCUUUUUGGAGAAAGACGAACAGUUGGAAGACAAACCAGACAAAAUAAAGAGGUUUGGAAAUCUUCUGAACCAGAAAGCAAAACGUGCCUUUCUAGAUGGGUUGGUUACAACUUCUAGAAAGAGGAAAGGUAUUAUCACAUUAUCAACAGCUUCAUUACUGUCACCACCACCACCACCAUCAUCAUCAUCAUCCUUAUAUUAUUUAAUUUUGUAUUUAUUUCUUUCUUUGUUUUUUUCUUCAAACAUACAUUAACAUCAUGAACAUUUCAUUACAUGUCAAUAAACAUUAAAACUCAAUAUUAACAUAUUAAAAUUUAAAUUAAAAUAAAAAAAGGGAAAGGGGGAAUUUCUGAAGCACAGCUUAUUACAUGAAAAACCCCUGAUACAAAAAUAGUAAUUUAAUAAAAAAUAUAUACAGGCACACUGGCA
This is a long non-coding RNA of Anneissia japonica, 517 nucleotides long. RefSeq lists it as uncharacterized. The transcript has 2 exons. The record is from RefSeq and is a predicted model, not a curated record. NCBI's taxonomy places the organism in Eukaryota, Metazoa, Echinodermata, Crinoidea, Comatulida, Comatulidae.